Molecule: ribosomal RNA, 549 nt
Filed under: uncultured bacterium
Lineage: Bacteria
Description: bacterial SSU rRNA
Rfam family: Bacterial small subunit ribosomal RNA
Source: RNAcentral
UAGGGAAUCUUCGGCAAUGGACGGAAGUCUGACCGAGCAACGCCGCGUGAGUGAAGAAGGUUUUCGGAUCGUAAAGCUCUGUUGUAAGAGAAGAACGAGUGUGAGAGUGGAAAGUUCACACUGUGACGGUAUCUUACCAGAAAGGGACGGCUAACUACGUGCCAGCAGCCGCGGUAAUACGUAGGUCCCGAGCGUUGUCCGGAUUUAUUGGGCGUAAAGCGAGCGCGGGCGGUUAGAUAAGUCUGAAGUUAAAGGCUGUGGCUUAACCAUAGUAGGCUUUGGAAACUGUUUAACUUGAGUGCAAGAGGGGAGAGUGGAAUUCCAUGUGUAGCGGUGAAAUGCGUAGAUAUAUGGAGGAACACCGGUGGCGAAAGCGGCUCUCUGGCUUGUAACUGACGCUGAGGCUCGAAAGCGUGGGGAGCAAACAGGAUUAGAUACCCUGGUAGUCCACGCUGUAAACGAUGAGUGCUAGGUGUUAGACCCUUUCCGGGGUUUAGUGCCGUAGCUAACGCAUUAAGCACUCCGCCUGGGGAGUACGACCGCAAGGUU